RNAcentral lists this ribosomal RNA (254 nucleotides) under uncultured bacterium. Its description in RNAcentral is "partial 16S ribosomal RNA". It matches the Rfam family "Bacterial small subunit ribosomal RNA", at positions 524 to 776 of the family's 1533-position model. The record is from RNAcentral.
UACGUAGGGGGCAAGCGUUGUUCGGAAUGACUGGGCGUAAAGGGUGCGUAGGCGGUGUAGCAAGUUAGAAGUGAAAUACCUAGAGCUUAACUCAGGUGCUGCUUCUAAAACUGCUAAACUUGAGUGCAGUAGAGGAAAGUGGAAUUCCUAGUGUAGCGGUGGAAUGCGUAGAUAUUAGGAGGAACAUCAGUGGCGAAGGCGACUUUCUGGACUGUAACUGACGCUGAGGCACGAAAGUGUGGGGAGCAAACAGG